This 607-nucleotide ribosomal RNA is filed under the name Salmonella enterica subsp. enterica serovar Infantis. RNAcentral's name for it is "partial 23S ribosomal RNA". It matches the Rfam family "Bacterial large subunit ribosomal RNA", at positions 582 to 1190 of the family's 2925-position model. The record is from RNAcentral. RNAcentral also lists the same sequence under 9 other names. Lineage: Bacteria; Pseudomonadati; Pseudomonadota; Gammaproteobacteria; Enterobacterales; Enterobacteriaceae.
GGUUUACCUGUGUGACUGCGUACCUUUUGUAUAAUGGGUCAGCGACUUAUAUUCUGUAGCAAGGUUAACCGAAUAGGGGAGCCGGAGGGAAACCGAGUCUUAAUUGGGCGUUAAGUUGCAGGGUAUAGACCCGAAACCCGGUGAUCUAGCCAUGGGCAGGUUGAAGGUUGGGUAACACUAACUGGAGGACCGAACCGACUAAUGUUGAAAAAUUAGCGGAUGACCUGUGGCUGGGGGUGAAAGGCCAAUCAAACCGGGAGAUAGCUGGUUCUCCCCGAAAGCUAUUUAGGUAGCGCCUCGUGAAUUCAUCUCCGGGGGUAGAGCACUGUUUCGGCUAGGGGGCCAUCCCGGCUUACCAACCCGAUGCAAACUGCGAAUACCGGAGAAUGUUAUCACGGGAGACACACGGCGGGUGCUAACGUCCGUCGUGAAGAGGGAAACAACCCAGACCGCCAGCUAAGGUCCCAAAGUCAUGGUUAAGUGGGAAACGAUGUGGGAAGGCCCAGACAGCCAGGAUGUUGGCUUAGAAGCAGCCAUCAUUUAAAGAAAGCGUAAUAGCUCACUGGUCGAGUCGGCCUGCGCGGAAGAUGUAACGGGGCUAAACCAU